This is a long non-coding RNA of Myiozetetes cayanensis, 1548 nucleotides long. RefSeq lists it as uncharacterized. The record is from RefSeq and is a predicted model, not a curated record. The transcript has 3 exons. NCBI's taxonomy places the organism in Eukaryota, Metazoa, Chordata, Aves, Passeriformes, Tyrannidae.
GAAAGCAGGAUGGCAUCAAAGAAGGGCUUCCUGAAAAGCAUUCUAAAACAACAAGAGAAAGAGGAGGAAAAAGAAGGAAUCAGCUGUCUUGACAACCGUCAAGUGGUUGAGGCUAAGAACCAAGAACUCAUCCUGAGGUUUGCCUAGGAAAUGAACAGGUUUUCAUUAACAUAAAGGAAAUACAGAAUGAGCAUUUAGUCCAGAGCUCCAGAAGGGAAAUACAACAUUUGGAAACACACUGUCCAUGAGCUAAAGGUGAAAGAAGAGGAAGGUGGAGAAGGCAUGAGAAAUAACUUAGCACACAUCCGUGCACGUUUGGAGCCCUCCAGAUUCCACUCGGUCUGUCUUUUCUUGGUGUUCACACGCCUGCUCCAAUCAGCAAGACUGUCUGAACAGAAAUAGCUGGAACAGCAGCACGGAUGGGCUGGGCGUGGAAGCCUUUCAUCCUUACUCCUUUCAUCCUUACGGAUCCUAAACAGCGGAGUCAGAGCGGGAGGGGUAGAAGUAACGAAGCCUGUACCUGGAUAUGCUGGUUAUAUUGGCACAUUCCAGGCUCUUAACCCUUGGCAGCCCAACUGGGAGGUAAAAUGCAGCGUUGGGAGUUUCAAAGAAAGCAUUUGGAGUUAAUUCACACUUGGAUUAGGUAAAAUGCAAACAUUUUAGCUGCAAGACAGAGAGUUUAAGGCUCCAUAGCUUUUGAGUGGAAUAGAUUUACCAUGGCAAUGACAGGGAACGGCUGGGCAGGAAGAGACAUAUCAGUGCCCACAGUGCCCAGAAUGGCUCUGCAUCUUGGUCUUUAUCCAACACUCACAGGUUCCACAGAAGCCUCUUCUGCAAACAAGACGUACAAGCAGAGGUACCACCUCUGGGACCAGCAGAACGAUCCUUUGUGCUUUAAUAAGCAUUGGAAAGACUUCAUCUAGAGAACUGCCUCAGCCUUUGGACACCACUGACCCCAGACAGGAACUAAAAGGAGAGAGAAUUGUUCAGGGAACAGCAGCAGUGACAAGAAAAAACGUGAAAUAAAAUGUUUAAGCAAGGAAGAGGACAUAAAAGAGACCUGAUAAGUAGAUAACUCCUACAUUUAAUCCCUCCUUCACAGAAGGCAGUAUCAGGAAUAAGUGAAGUAAGAGGCUAAUAAAUAGGAAAAAAUAUCUAAUGAUAAGGAUAGUUAAACACAGUCAUCUCCUCUCUGGAAGUUUACAAAGAUGGAUGUCAACACCCACAGGGAGUGGCAGAAGUAUGGUUGAUCCUACUUGGCGCUGAUGAACGAAUCAGACAACCUCAGGGAGCCUGACUCUUGAGACUGUACUUGAAAUACCUACAAACUGGGUGCCUUUGAAUUAACAUCCAGAUGUAUAAAUGUCUCAAUAGCACUGCAACAGACUUCAGGGAUUUGAUUUUGUAGUACAGUUAAGGAAGAAGGGCCAUACCAAGAUAGGGGUUUCUUCAGUUUUUGAGAGAAAUACUUUGUGAAUCUGGGUGCUGAAAUUCUCGGUUGUAGACAUAUAAAUGUAUGAUGGAACUUGGGACUAAGCACAUAUAAAA